Molecule: ribosomal RNA, 433 nt
Filed under: uncultured bacterium
Lineage: Bacteria
Description: partial 16S ribosomal RNA
Rfam family: Bacterial small subunit ribosomal RNA
Source: RNAcentral
AGCGAACGCUGGCGGCAGGCCUAACACAUGCAAGUCGAACGAACUCUUCGGAGUUAGUGGCGGACGGGUGAGUAACACGUGGGAACGUGCCUUUAGGUUCGGAAUAACUCAGGGAAACUUGUGCUAAUACCGAAUGUGCCCUUCGGGGGAAAGAUUUAUCGCCUUUAGAGCGGCCCGCGUCUGAUUAGCUAGUUGGUGAGGUAAAGGCUCACCAAGGCGACGAUCAGUAGCUGGUCUGAGAGGAUGAUCAGCCACAUUGGGACUGAGACACGGCCCAAACUCCUACGGGAGGCAGCAGUGGGGAAUCUUGCGCAAUGGGCGAAAGCCUGACGCAGCCAUGCCGCGUGAAUGAUGAAGGUCUUAGGAUUGUAAAAUUCUUUCACCGGGGACGAUAAUGACGGUACCCGGAGAAGGAGCCCCGGCUAACUUCGUG